GAGACACUAGUAUAUUAAUACUUAGCCCUGUCAGAGCUAAAUAAUAGGUGUAACCCCUUUGCGUCUCA
Molecule: transfer RNA, 68 nt
Filed under: Cyrtopodion scabrum
Lineage: Eukaryota; Metazoa; Chordata; Lepidosauria; Squamata; Gekkonidae
Description: tRNA-Asp
Source: RNAcentral